CACAAGCGGUGGAUGAUGUGGAUUAAUUCGAUGCAACGUAGAAAACCUUACCUACCUUGACAUGUCCGGAAUCCCGAAGAGAUUUGGGAGUGCUCGCAAGAGAACCGGAACACAGGUGCUGCAUGGCUGUCGUCAGCUCGUGUCGUGAGAUGUUGGGUUAAGUCCCGCAACGAGCGCAACCCUUGUCAUUAGUUGCCAUCAUUUGGUUGGGCACCCUAAUGAGACUGCCGGUGACAAACCGGAGGAAGGUGGGGAUGACGUCAAGUCCUCAUGGCCCUUAUGGGUAGGGCUUCACACGUCAUACAAUGGUCGGUACAGAGGGUUGCCAACCCGCGAGGUGGAGCCAAUCCCACAAAGCCGAUCGUAGUCCGGAUUGCAGUCUGCAACUCGACUGCAUGAAGUCGGAAUCGCUAGUAAUCGCGGAUCAGCAUGUCGCGGUGAAUACGUUCCCGGGCCUU
Molecule: ribosomal RNA, 458 nt
Filed under: uncultured Rhodocyclaceae bacterium
Lineage: Bacteria; Pseudomonadati; Pseudomonadota; Betaproteobacteria; Rhodocyclales; Rhodocyclaceae
Description: bacterial SSU rRNA
Rfam family: Bacterial small subunit ribosomal RNA
Source: RNAcentral